This 392-nucleotide ribosomal RNA is filed under the name uncultured bacterium. RNAcentral's name for it is "bacterial SSU rRNA". It matches the Rfam family "Bacterial small subunit ribosomal RNA", at positions 29 to 420 of the family's 1533-position model. The record is from RNAcentral.
AUUGAACGCUGGCGGAAUGCUUUACACAUGCAAGUCGAGCGGCAGCGCGGGGGCAACCCUGGCGGCGAGCGGCGAACGGGUGAGUAAUACAUCGGAACGUGUCCUUGAGUGGGGGAUAGCUCGGCGAAAGCCGGAUUAAUACCGCAUAAGCUCUGAGGAGGAAAGCGGGGGAUUCGCAAGGACCUCGCGCUGUUGGAGCGGCCGAUGUCGGGUUAGCUAGUUGGUGGGGUAAAGGCCCACCAAGGCGACGAUCCGUAGCUGGUCUGAGAGGAUGAUCAGCCACACUGGAACUGAGACACGGUCCAGACUCCUACGGGAGGCAGCAGUGGGGAAUUUUGGACAAUGGGGGCAACCCUGAUCCAGCCAUUCCGCGUGAGUGAAGAAGGCCUCGG